RNAcentral lists this long non-coding RNA (1527 nucleotides) under Numida meleagris (helmeted guineafowl). RNAcentral describes it as "lncRNA (ENSNMEG00000021074.1)". The record is from RNAcentral. Lineage: Eukaryota; Metazoa; Chordata; Aves; Galliformes; Numididae.
GUUUUUAGAACACCUUUUAUUGAUUAAGCAGUUAACAGCUUCAAGCUGUAAUUAUUAAUAGCGGGUAUCAGCUCUCACAAUAUAUUUACCUAUUUCUGCAGCCAGACAGACACAUGCACAGUCAUUCACAGCUGCCUGGUUGCAGCUGGGAUCCCAAUACCAGCUGGAUACUUGAAAGCAGAGGAUCAGACCAUCAUCAUGCCAAUGGCUUUGCAAGUCCGUAAAGAGCGAUCACAGACGCUGCCCAACCUUUCCAGCAUGUGAGAAGAGUGGAUCUUUUUUUGCUUCAGUGUAUCAUGCUGAGGAGGAACAGUCAUUCCACAUGUUUUUCCUUCCUCUUGAACACUGAGGUUUUGACUGUACUGGCUGCCAACAGAGCUGAGCAAUAUUUUAAUGGGGAAAAGGAAUUGUACUGUGAGAAAGUAUUAAGAUGCUACUUGCAACAGGGCAAAGAAGAUGUGGCGAGUGCCUGCAGGUUGUCCAGUGCUGAAAGACGCGUGAGCUCCAAAUGCACCGCGCUGCCGUGAGAGACCUCCCUGCUUGGGGGUUCAGGGCACAGGGAUUUACAUCGUGGUUCUUCUGAAUGUCUCUCUCUUCUGGUUGGUGCUUCACAUACAACGUAAAGGCCGGUGUAAAUGAUUUAAAACUGAAAUUUACGCACAGCUAAGCAUGAGUCUUGUUAUGUGCGUGUAUCUCUUAUGCUCACUGCUGCUGCUUACCCUGUCCAGCAUUCAACCACAAGGCCCCGUGCACUUCUUCCUUGUUUCUGCUGCUGCUUCCCAUGCAUUUACCCGUAGAACAAAGGCUUUCAUUUGUUUUGUUUCUGCUAUCCAUGCUGAGUGGUCUAUAGCUCCGUGCCUAAGCUCACUUUUUUCUUGACUGAUAAUGACUGAUAGAGCGAGAAUAACAAUGGCACAGUUUAUGUGUCCUGACAGCCUCCACUUCUGCUAGGGCUGCCCAGAGGGACUGGCAGAAGUGUUAGCUCUGUGAAGGAAUUCAGAUCCCUAGCAGUGGAGUGAGAAGCCAAGUGGCACUUUAAAACUGCUAUAGUCCAAAUACCUUUUAAAAAAACAGUAAGCCCAGAGUGUUCUGUUGACUUUCUAUCAUACAGUAAUUUGAGGAGAAAUACUUUUUUUUUUGUUCUGCACAGAUGGUAUAACUUUGGCAUCUGAACUAUGAUAUUGUUAAAUACAAGUGUACAUAGUUCCACUUGUUUCAAAUGUUUGAAAAUUAUAUAGAAGACCAUAUAUUUUGAUGAAUAUGCUACUUAAUUCUAUAGUGCUUUAAUAAGGUUAUUCCUAUUAUUGCACUACUGUCAUUUAAGCACAUUUUUUUCCCUUAGUAUGUUCCCUAUGCUUUUUUAUUCUUAAAAUGAAUGUAAAGAUGACCGAUUAGAAAGAAUGUCUUGUGGAAUUAGUUACUCUAUUAAACAUAACGAACUCUUAAUGCCAGAUUUUCAAGCUGUAUAGCAGUGUGUCUUCACUGAGAUCAAGGAACUUGUGCCAGCUACAGAAAAUCUGGAUGUAA